RNAcentral lists this ribosomal RNA (478 nucleotides) under uncultured bacterium. RNAcentral's name for it is "partial 16S ribosomal RNA". It matches the Rfam family "Bacterial small subunit ribosomal RNA", at positions 28 to 507 of the family's 1533-position model. The record is from RNAcentral.
GACGAACGCUGGCGGCGUGCUUAACACAUGCAAGUCGAACGUGAUUUUUGUGGGAAUUCUUUCGGGCAUGGAAAUGAAAUGAAACGGGUGAACGGGAGAGCAACACGUGCGCAACCUACCUUACACAGGGGGAUAGCCGUACGAAACGACGAUUUAUACCGCAUGAGACCACAGAAUCGCAUGUCAUAGCUGUCAAAGAUUUAUCGGCCUAAGAAGGGCUGGCGUCUGAUUAGCGUGCUGGAAGGGUAAAGGGCUACCAAGGCGACGUUCAGUAGCCUGUCAGAGAGGCAGGACGGCCACAUUGGAGCUGAGACGCAGUCCGAACUCCUACAGGAGGCAGCAGUGGGGAAUAUUGCACUAUGGCGGGAGCCCUGAUGCAGCUACGCCGCGUGAGCGAAGUAGUUUUUAGAAACGUACAGCUCUGUCCUAUGAGGAGAUAAUGACGGUAUCAUAGGAGGAAGCCCCGGCUAAAUACGUG